CGGGGACACCCAGCAUUGCAGCUCCUCACCCAGGCCGAGGAACCCACCCUAUUGCCACACUCCCACCUCUGCAUCGCCGUUGGGGUUAGGGCUCAUUCCCAAAACUUAUCCCCGUCUCACACAUCAGACACAUCAGCCGCACCCCACCAAAAUCCAGCUUUGGUGACUAAGAGUGUUAAAAAAAAAAAAAAAUCAUUUUUUUUCCUUUGCUCCAACCCAUUCCUGACUCAAGACGCCAAUCCCCUGCCUGCCUUUCCUCCGGAGCCAGUCCCGACCUGCAGCCCCUUCAGUCCGCCUUAAAAAAAACCCCUAACAAACGCAUUGAAAAGCUUCAUUAAAAAGGCAGCAACUUAACCCAACCCAACCCGCCACAGCCGGGAGAGCACGCUGGAAAAGAGGGCAGAGAGCCGUGCCGGGGGGCUGCACCCCACUGCCUCUCGGGCCCCCCGCAGCCCCGGGCGCAUCCCAGGCGGUGCAGCGCCGCGCUCCCCCUGCAGGAAGGAGAUCCCAUCGCUCUGCACGGCGGUACUGAUCCCACAACAGCCAUACGAGGCGGCUCUCGGGCAGGGCACGGCUGAACACGGCACUGAUUUGUCCAUUCAGCAGCCUCCGAUUCCCAUUUAUUGAGGGUUUUUUUUAUAUAUUCAGAUCCAUACAGGAUUCUCCCCUUUGGAAGCCCCUGCUCGCAGCUGCUUCUAAGCAGAAAGUCACAAGUGAGUCCUGGCCACGAACUGCAUCUACAGCAGCGAUUCAGGGACCGGCAGAAGCUCGGCCAGAUCUGCCCUGCUCUGCAGCAAUCAGGGUUUCAGUUUGUCAGUGCGUUCAGAAAGAGCACCACGGUCCUCAUUCCCUGCAUCCGGGCACCUCUGCCUUUGCAACAGCAGCAGCGAUGUUGAAGGCCUGCUCCCAAACUCAAUCCAAUAGUCUCUACC
RNAcentral lists this long non-coding RNA (932 nucleotides) under Gallus gallus (chicken). Its description in RNAcentral is "long non-coding RNA NONGGAT002193". Lineage: Eukaryota; Metazoa; Chordata; Aves; Galliformes; Phasianidae. The record is from RNAcentral.